This 497-nucleotide ribosomal RNA is filed under the name uncultured bacterium. Its description in RNAcentral is "partial 16S ribosomal RNA". It matches the Rfam family "Bacterial small subunit ribosomal RNA", at positions 28 to 507 of the family's 1533-position model. The record is from RNAcentral.
GAUGAACGCUGGCGGCGUGCCUAAUACAUGCAAGUCGAGCGAACAGACGAGGAGCUUGCUCCUCUGACGUUAGCGGCGGACGGGUGAGUAACACGUGGAUAACCGACCUAUAAGACUGGGAUAACUUCGGGAAACCGGAGCUAAUACCGGAUAAUAUAUUGAACCGCAUGGUUCAAUAGUGAAAGACGGUUUUGCUGUCACUUAUAGAUGUAUCCGCGCCGCAUUAGCUAGUUGGUAAGGUAACGGCUUACCAAGGCAACGAUGCGUAGCCGACCUGAGAGGGUGAUCGGCCACACUGGAACUGAGACACGGUCCAGACUCCUACGGGAGGCAGCAGUAGGGAAUCUUCCGCAAUGGGCGAAAGCCUGACGGAGCAACGCCGCGUGAGUGAUGAAGGUCUUCGGAUCGUAAAACUCUGUUAUUAGGGAAGAACAAAUGUGUAAGUAACUAUGCACGUCUUGACGGUACCUAAUCAGAAAGCCACGGCUAACUACGUG